GCGCCUGUAGCUCAGCAGGAUAGAGCAACAGCCUUCUAAGCUGUGGGUCAGGAGUUCGAGUCUUCUCAGGCGCGCCA
RNAcentral lists this transfer RNA (77 nucleotides) under Alphaproteobacteria bacterium. Its description in RNAcentral is "tRNA-Arg". It matches the Rfam family "tRNA". From Rfam's summary of the family: Transfer RNA (tRNA) molecules are approximately 80 nucleotides in length. Their secondary structure includes four short double-helical elements and three loops (D, anti-codon, and T loops). The record is from RNAcentral. Lineage: Bacteria; Pseudomonadati; Pseudomonadota; Alphaproteobacteria.